AUGGGAACGCGAAGAACCUUACCUAGACUUGACAUCUCCUGAAUAGUGUAGAGAUACAUGAAGCCCUUCGGGGCAGGAAGACAGGUGGUGCAUGGUUGUCGUCAGCUCGUGUCGUGAGAUGUUGGGUUAAGUCCCGCAACGAGCGCAACCCUUAUUACUAGUUGCUACCAUUAAGUUGAGCACUCUAGUGAGACUGCCCGGGUUAACCGGGAGGAAGGCGGGGAUGACGUCAAAUCAUCAUGCCCCUUAUGUCUAGGGCAACACACGUGCUACAAUGGUGAGUACAGAUAGAUGCGAUACCGCAAGGUGGAGCCAAACUCUAAAACUCAUCCCAGUUCGGAUUGUAGGCUGAAACUCGCCUACAUGAAGCCGGAGUUGCUAGUAAUCGCGAAUCAGAAUGUCGCGGUGAAUA
This 412-nucleotide ribosomal RNA is filed under the name uncultured bacterium. RNAcentral's name for it is "bacterial SSU rRNA". It matches the Rfam family "Bacterial small subunit ribosomal RNA", at positions 954 to 1368 of the family's 1533-position model. The record is from RNAcentral.